Molecule: ribosomal RNA, 253 nt
Filed under: uncultured bacterium
Lineage: Bacteria
Description: partial 16S ribosomal RNA
Rfam family: Bacterial small subunit ribosomal RNA
Source: RNAcentral
UACGAGGGGGGCAAGCGUUGUUCGGAAUUAUUGGGCGUAAAGGGUGCGUAGGCGGUUUGGUAAGUCUUAUGUGAAAUCUACAGGCUCAACUUGUAGUCUGCAUGAGAAACUGCCGGGCUUGAGUAUGGGAGAGGUGAGUGGAAUUCCUGGUGUAGCGGUGAAAUGCGUAGAUAUCAGGAGGAACACCUGUGGCGAAAGCGGCUCACUGGACCACAACUGACGCUGAUGCACGAAAGCUAGGGGAGCAAACAGG